ACCACUCGUAUAUUUCCUCUUAUUGUGGGUUAUUUUUUUUUUUUUUUUAGUUUUGUUUGGACAAAUUUAGGACGAGUGGGAAUAAGGGACAGAUGUCACUGCUGUAAGUGUUGACGGGAGCUGGAAACUCCCCUCCCCAACUGCCUCCAGCCCUGAGGAGCACCAGCCCGUUCCUCUGUGUCAGGGGCACUGAUGAAGGGAUGAAGGGCAAUGUUUUGAAGCACGCUCCCACUUUGACCUGUAGUUCCUUCUGCCCUUCCAGAAGCCGGGAUCUGGAGCAGCAGGGCUAGCAGUCACCAUCCUCAACGAAGCUCCACUGUCUUGGUAUGGUGCCAUCUGCCACCUUUCCUCAGCUCUCACCUGCAGACUGUCACUCUUGCUGUGGCAGACACUGACCUGUGACCCUAAGCAACACGCUGGCUGCUUUCACCCCUCACAGAGAAAGCACUCCCCACUCACCAUCCCAUCCCUGUGGGAUGCACAGCUCCAUCCACAAACUCAUCCCUUCCCAGCGCCAGCCAUGCAGCUGCCCUUCUCCCCUCAGCCAGUGAUUUCUCCUGCUCGUUCCUUGCCUCAUCCCCCCUUUCCCUCCCUCCCGGUGUCUGCAUUUCUUGCACCGCUCGCUAUUUACUGACAGGGCAAUGUGACUUUUCGCACCGGCUCUCGCUGCUCGCUGCCCUGCCGAUUGGGCUGGGCAAAGCCUCUCCCCAGCCCCAGCUGGCCGGACAUCUCCCCCCACCUCCCCUCCCCUUCACAACCCGCCGAGCGACAGAUUCCACUCUCCCUCCCUCUCCCUUUCUUUUUCCACCCCUCCCGCCUUCAGCACAGACCCAAGACUCAGGAUCCCGCCGAGAGAAAGCGGCUCCUCGAAACCAUCACCGCAGCCCGUGCUGCUAAGGAGGGAGAGGAAAACCUCCGCACCACCUCCUGCAUCGGGGGGCUUCGCGGCGGGGCGAUGGCUUUGGGCUCCCGGAGAUCAUCUCUCACCUUUGCCCGGGGUGUGGGACCCGUCUUCUUCAUCCUUCAGAUCAUCUCCGUUCGGGCUGAUGACUUCCACAUCUGCCCAGCUCAGACGUCACCGAACAUCAGCUCACACGGGCAGGUACUGAGGAAGGGGAGACGAGAAGCUGAAGGUUUGUGCUCCCAGCAUUUUCGAUUCGGUAUGGCACGCUCAGGACAGCAGCUGACCCUCCUGCGAGGGCUUCACCUGCUCUGCACCGCCGAGGGGUUCGAUCCGAGCACAAACUGGGCUGAAUCACCACCAGCUGCUUACUCUGCAACACACUCGCUGACGGUAAUCCCGAAUGGCAGCAUCCUUUGCAAGCAGCCCGUUCCCCUUUGAAUAAUUAAGCCCCCCUGAUGAUGGCCAACUUGGCUUGGUGAUAACAUUAUUAAUUUUUAAAGCAACUGUUUCUUUUCCUGGGAGAGCAGUGCUGAAUGGCCAUUUUUUUGUUUUGUUUUUCAUUUUGCAGCUGCGAUAGAUUUAUGCCUGAUCUCAGGAUAUAUAUAUUUUGUCAGUACAGUAAUCCUUUACCACUGAUGUUUGCUGUAUUGUGCCGGAGAACAGUUCCUUAACAUUAUAGGGCAUUAUAAAC
Molecule: long non-coding RNA, 1595 nt
Organism: Phasianus colchicus (ring-necked pheasant)
Lineage: Eukaryota; Metazoa; Chordata; Aves; Galliformes; Phasianidae
Source: Ensembl